GAUACAUCUGACCAGCAUAUUAUUGAUGUGGUGCUAAGAAUGUUGCAAGAGAGGCUGGCAGCGGUAGCAGUGAGCGCUAAAAGGGCUGUGCUUGGUGGAGCUGGUGUCAUGGGAACCCCCCGGCCCUCCUGGACCUCUGUGAUCAACGGGUCCACAAGGACCACAUGAUUUGCCUGGUUCUCGAAGAAUUCCUGGGAUGAUAGGAGCUGAUGGACAGAUCGGAAACAAAGGUCUUAAAGGUAGUCGGACACAAUGGGCCUGCCCGGGAUAUCUCGUGGUGUCGGCUCCGCUUGUGUUGCCCUUUGUGGAUCUUGGGGAGCAUAUAGAUUCUGCGGGGGCCGGGGGCCGAUUCGCUCAAGAGAUAAGUCUUUUGUUUUGCAUUAAUGAAUCAUUUUUGUAAUACAUUCUUAAUUAUGUUUUCUAUCAUAGGAAUAGUUUCGGGGUAAAUGACUGCGGAGGGCCUCAGUUUUGUACCGCGUCAGGUUGGGCGAGACCGCGAGGGCGCAGCCCGACCGGAGCGAUGGGUGCUCAUCCGCCAGGACCAGCGUCUGGAACUCUGGAGGUAGCAGUCCUGGUCGUAUUUCACCUGAUGGUGCCACUCGGGACUGAGGCUGGUGGACGGGACGAAACUGAGGCCUUUGUCGAGGAGGGAGAGCUGCGAGGAGGUAAGUAUGAAGUUUCUGACCAGGUUCACAACUUUUCUGUAAGGUUGCAUACAAC
This is a non-coding RNA of Nerophis lumbriciformis (worm pipefish), 720 nucleotides long. Lineage: Eukaryota; Metazoa; Chordata; Actinopteri; Syngnathiformes; Syngnathidae. The record is from RefSeq and is a predicted model, not a curated record.